GAGGGGUUGGGCGGUGUUAAUCGUGAGCUGGUCCGGUCUUGUCUCCUGACGAGGGGAAGCCCGCUCUGUUUUACAUUUCGCAUGACUAUAUUAGUAUGUAUAUGUUUAAUGUAAUUAAUUGCGCUUCUUUAUGUCGUGCUUAGAAAACUAUUAAUUGCUCCAGUCACUGGACCAGUGUAUCAAUUUUAUUUCUUUAGCUCAACAAAGUUGCAUAAGUGAAGUGGGGAGGACGGCGGACGGGCGGCCGGAGGUGCAGCGGGAGGGAAGGUCGCCUCAGGGAAAACUGAGAGAAGUGAUGCCCAGCAAUAGAGAGACACUUCUGUCGGGGUCGAGCUGUUUUUUCAUGGCGCCAUUGGCAGCCAGGCGUGCCACCUGCUCCGGACCUCUCUCUGCUGUGGCCAGACGGAACAGCUGGCCGCUCUUCUGACGCUCUGAUUGGCUAAUCCCCGCUGGUCACUUGUGCUCUUCCUCCUCGCCUGUCAUUGAACUUUCUCUCAAUUAGUGCCAGGUUUGUGCUUCCUUCACAGGGGCUGCCCU
Molecule: long non-coding RNA, 537 nt
Filed under: Scleropages formosus (Asian bonytongue)
Lineage: Eukaryota; Metazoa; Chordata; Actinopteri; Osteoglossiformes; Osteoglossidae
Description: lncRNA (ENSSFOG00015029771.1)
Source: RNAcentral